CAUCGUUGACGCUGACUGUACG
Molecule: microRNA, 22 nt
Filed under: Glycine max (soybean)
Lineage: Eukaryota; Viridiplantae; Streptophyta; Magnoliopsida; Fabales; Fabaceae
Description: gma-miR4397-5p
Source: miRBase by way of RNAcentral